RNAcentral lists this ribosomal RNA (517 nucleotides) under uncultured bacterium. RNAcentral describes it as "bacterial SSU rRNA". It matches the Rfam family "Bacterial small subunit ribosomal RNA", at positions 501 to 1016 of the family's 1533-position model. The record is from RNAcentral.
CUACGUGCCAGCAGCCGCGGUAAUACGUAGGUCCCGAGCGUUGUCCGGAUUUAUUGGGCGUAAAGCGAGCGCAGGCGGUUAGAUAAGUCUGAAGUUAAAGGCUGUGGCUUAACCAUAGUACGCUUUGGAAACUGUUUAACUUGAGUGCAGAAGGGGAGAGUGGAAUUCCAUGUGUAGCGGUGAAAUGCGUAGAUAUAUGGAGGAACACCGGUGGCGAAAGCGGCUCUCUGGUCUGUAACUGACGCUGAGGCUCGAAAGCGUGGGGAGCGAACAGGAUUAGAUACCCUGGUAGUCCACGCCGUAAACGAUGAGUGCUAGGUGUUAGGCCCUUUCCGGGGCUUAGUGCCGCAGCUAACGCAUUAAGCACUCCGCCUGGGGAGUACGACCGCAAGGUUGAAACUCAAAGGAAUUGACGGGGGCCCGCACAAGCGGUGGAGCAUGUGGUUUAAUUCGAAGCAACGCGAAGAACCUUACCAGGUCUUGACAUCCCGAUGCCCGCUCUAGAGAUAGAGUUUUA